RNAcentral lists this ribosomal RNA (465 nucleotides) under Vreelandella stevensii. Its description in RNAcentral is "partial 16S ribosomal RNA". It matches the Rfam family "Bacterial small subunit ribosomal RNA", at positions 338 to 795 of the family's 1533-position model. The record is from RNAcentral. Lineage: Bacteria; Pseudomonadati; Pseudomonadota; Gammaproteobacteria; Oceanospirillales; Halomonadaceae.
CCUACGGGAGGCAGCAGUGGGGAAUAUUGGACAAUGGGGGGAACCCUGAUCCAGCCAUGCCGCGUGUGUGAAGAAGGCCCUCGGGUUGUAAAGCACUUUCAGUGAGGAAGAACGCCUGGUGGUUAAUACCCAUCAGGAAAGACAUCACUCACAGAAGAAGCACCGGCUAACUCCGUGCCAGCAGCCGCGGUAAUACGGAGGGUGCGAGCGUUAAUCGGAAUUACUGGGCGUAAAGCGCGCGUAGGUGGCUUGAUAAGCCGGUUGUGAAAGCCCCGGGCUCAACCUGGGAACGGCAUCCGGAACUGUCAAGCUAGAGUGCAGGAGAGGAAGGUAGAAUUCCCGGUGGAGCGGUGAAAUGCGUAGAGAUCGGGAGGAAUACCAGUGGCGAAGGCGGCCUUCUGGACUGACACUGACACUGAGGUGCGAAAGCGUGGGUAGCAAACAGGAUUAGAUACCCCUGUAGUC